This 425-nucleotide ribosomal RNA is filed under the name uncultured bacterium. RNAcentral describes it as "partial 16S ribosomal RNA". It matches the Rfam family "Bacterial small subunit ribosomal RNA", at positions 338 to 795 of the family's 1533-position model. The record is from RNAcentral.
CCUACGGGGGGCUGCAGUAACGAAUCUUCCGCAAUGCACGAAAGUGUGACGGAGCGACGCCGCGUGGAGAUGAAGUUCUUCGGAAUGUAAACUUCUGUCAGGGGAAAUUUCCCCAGAGGAAGGGGCGACUAACUCUGUGCCAGCAGUCGCGGUAAGACAGAGGCCCCGAGCGUUAGGCGGAAUCACUGGGCUUAAAGCGCGUGUAGGCGGGAAACUAAGUACCUUGUGAAAUCCCACAGCUUAACUGUGGAACUGCUGGGUAUACUGGUUUUCUUGAGGCAUCUAGGGGCGAGCGGAACAAACGGUGGAGCGGUGAAAUGCGUAGAUAUCGUUUGGAACGCCAAUGGUGAAAACAGCUCGCUGGGAGUCCUGACGCUGAGACGCGAAAGCCAGGGGAGCAAACGGGAUUAGAUACCCUUGUAGUC